CCAAUGGCCUGGCCAAGAAUGUUGAUGUCACAAGGAAAGGGAACAGAGUUUGAUUGUGUGUCACAUAGAACUGGGAACAGACUGCUGUACUUAGAGGGACGUCCUUAUCAAUUAGGUAAUGUCUGCUAAUGAUUGAGGAGCUGUGUUAGGCAGUGCUCCAGCUGUUGAUAUGUUAGCAAACAUCUGCAAAGGGCACUCGUACCUUGUGGGAAAAACUUUUCUUAGUCUGGAUCCCACUGGUCCAAGCCCUGAAAGACUGGCAGACCCAACAGCAUCUCACAGGGCAUCUGAAACAGAGGAACAUGGCAGAAAUGUGGACUGGGCACAGGAGGCAGCUCUGCUUGGGAUGUUGGUUCCAUCUCCAGGAGAUCAACAGCGCUAUGGGAAGAGGAAGGUGUGGCCAAGGCUCUGACAUUGCUGUGGUCUUCCAGAGAAUGGGCCAUCAGCAACAUCAUCACCACUUGCCUCCGUCUGGAGGUACUAGCAGGUCCUUUGUAGUUUGAAAAUGUCCGACAGAGCAUUACAACUAAAUCUUAAGAGGACCAUCAUACAGCGAGAGACAUUUUCUUCCUGUGCAUCCAAGCAAGAAGGCCUGUUUCACAGUCUUUUAAGCUGAUUCCUGAGUCUCCUACACACGCCUGAAUCAGAUGUAUCUUGAUACAACCAACGAUCAAAAUAAUGGAAUUUCAGCCUGGAUGGGUUACACUAGCAACACCAGGGAGACAGAAGUGUCAGGAAAACAAAGACAGGAAAGCAGAUACUCAUGGAGGUGCUAGCUUUGUGCCAGGUCUUGUUCUGGGUGUUGAGGAUACCAAGGGAAGUGAACCACACCUGAGGCAUAAGGUAUGAAGGUGUGAAGGUAUUCUUGAUUUUCUUCCAGAAGCUUUAUUGCAUUAUUUUAAAAGUCAAGUCACUUUUGGUGCCACAUCGUGCUAUUCAAACAUAAGAAAUCUUUAGUAAAAGUGAACAGGACACAAAAUGGGAAGGAGGAGGCAAUGGAGCUGGGAGCUGAGGCCAGCAGAAGCAAAGUGGAUGCCCAACGCAGGCAAUCCAGGUCUCUUGAGUGCAGGGAAAUCUCCUCUCUGCUUGUAACCUCGAGGCUGCUCCUCUCCAUUAGAGCCAGGGAGGCCAGCUCUGCCUUUUAAAAAGGGGACCUGCAAAUGGAAUUCACACAAUGCCACGACCCUCGAUGUGCAGUGUGGCAGGCUACGGCCCAAUUCGCAUCCAAGUGCACACCACACAUUCACAGCUGAGAGCUCACCUCUCCUGCCCUGUCACACCAGCACUUCCCAGCAGUUCUGCAGCUGCUCUCCCUGACAAUGUUUUGAUAUGUUGGGCUGAGCCUCUCCAAGGGCACCAGCUCACUUUUGGUUCCUGAACACACUUAUUUGGUGUUUUCAAGAAGGUCAGUUUCAAUUCUCUGUGACUUUGGCUUCACCCCUUCUCACCUCUGAAGAUUGAAACAGGAGGGGGCUGGUACUUACUGUACAGCUGUGACCCCCCCAUUCCCUUGAGUCUACAUGCUGGCCUUUUGUAUCUAAAGCCCAUUCAGAGUAAGAUGAGAGAAGCACAUGCCCUAGAAACUUGAUCACUCCCAGCCCUGCUCAAACCCCCUUCAUAGUGAAUCUGCCCACCCCCAGCCCUUUACUGCCUGGGCCAUGGUUUGGCCCUGCGAUACCUGAACCACAGCUGAUUGGGUCAAUGCAAGUCACAUUACCCAGAGUCCUGUCAUCCAGGAGCAGCAGCAGAAGCUGGCCAACAUUCUUCCAGGGGUCCCAGGAAAAGCUAAGAUCUUCCUAUGAUCAGAUUCUUUCUCUUGAGAAUUUGAACUAAAUCCCAUGGGAAGAAUUUGCAAAUAUGCAAUCAGAGGUGAAGCAAGAGGAGCAAGAAAAAGGUUAGGAGGCUGCAAAGAGCCACAUGUAAGCCUAAGUGACAGAGGAGCAGAACCCGGAGCAGACAGAGAAAGCCACUGGCAGAGAACGGAGCACAGACCAGUUGUGCUGAGAAAGCCAGAGGUACCAGGAGAAGACACCAGUCCUAGACGUGCCUCUGUUCCUGAUUCUACAAACAGCUUCCUGCCCAGGAGUCUAUCAACCUACUAUCAACCCCUGUAGCUAUGAAAUCUCUUGAUGAAGUAUCCUGUGAGGGUUUCUGUUUGCAUUACCAAACAAGUUUGACCAAAACAGUGAGAGGAAGAGAGGAGGUGAGAGAGUGAGGCAAAGGAAAAUAAAUCAAAGUAAAGUAAAGAAGGUG
This 2253-nucleotide long non-coding RNA is filed under the name Equus caballus (horse). RNAcentral's name for it is "lncRNA (ENSECAG00000058249.1)". Lineage: Eukaryota; Metazoa; Chordata; Mammalia; Perissodactyla; Equidae. The record is from RNAcentral.